This 725-nucleotide ribosomal RNA is filed under the name uncultured bacterium. RNAcentral's name for it is "bacterial SSU rRNA". It matches the Rfam family "Bacterial small subunit ribosomal RNA", at positions 141 to 851 of the family's 1533-position model. The record is from RNAcentral.
GGAUAACACUUGGAAACAGGUGCUAAUACCGCAUAACAGUUUAUGCCGCAUGGCAUAAGAGUGAAAGGCGCUUUCGGGUGUCGCUGAUGGAUGGACCCGCGGUGCAUUAGCUAGUUGGUGAGGUAACGGCUCACCAAGGCCACGAUGCAUAGCCGACCUGAGAGGGUGAUCGGCCACACUGGGACUGAGGCACGGCCCAGACUCCUACGGGAGGCAGCAGUAGGGAAUCUUCGGCAAUGGACGAAAGUCUGGCCGAGCAACGCCGCGUGAGUGAAGAAGGUUUUCGGAUCGUAAAACUCUGUUGUUAGAGAAGAACAAGGACGUUAGUAACUGAACGUCCCCUGACGGUAUCUAACCAGAAAGCCACGGCUAACUACGUGCCAGCAGCCGCGGUAAUACGUAGGUGGCAAGCGUUGUCCGGAUUUAUUGGGCGUAAAGCGAGCGCAGGCGGUUUCUUAAGUCUGAUGUGAAAGCCCCCGGCUCAACCGGGGAGGGUCAUUGGAAACUGGGAGACUUGAGUGCAGAAGAGGAGAGUGGAAUUCCAUGUGUAGCGGUGAAAUGCGUAGAUAUAUGGAGGAACACCAGUGGCGAAGGCGGCUCUCUGGUCUGUAACUGACGCUGAGGCUCGAAAGCGUGGGGAGCAAACAGGAUUAGAUACCCUGGUAGUCCACGCCGUAAACGAUGAGUGCUAAGUGUUGGAGGGUUUCCGCCCUUCAGUGCUGCAG